UACGUAGGGUGCGAGCGUUAAUCGGAAUUACUGGGCGUAAAGCGUGCGCAGGCGGUUAUGCAAGACAGAUGUGAAAUCCCCGGGCUCAACCUGGGAACUGCAUUUGUGACUGCAUAGCUGGAGUGCGGCAGAGGGGGAUGGAAUUCCGCGUGUAGCAGUGAAAUGCGUAGAUAUGCGGAGGAACACCGAUGGCGAAGGCAAUCCCCUGGGCCUGCACUGACGCUCAUGCACGAAAGCGUGGGAAGCAAACAGG
This 253-nucleotide ribosomal RNA is filed under the name uncultured bacterium. Its description in RNAcentral is "partial 16S ribosomal RNA". It matches the Rfam family "Bacterial small subunit ribosomal RNA", at positions 524 to 776 of the family's 1533-position model. The record is from RNAcentral.